AACGAACGCUGGCGGCAGGCUUAACACAUGCAAGUCGAGCGCCUCGCAAGAGGAGCGGCAGACGGGUGAGUAACGCGUGGGAAUCUACCCAUCUCUACGGAAUAACUCAGGGAAACUUGUGCUAAUACCGUAUACGCCCUUAGGGGGAAAGAUUUAUCGGAGAUGGAUGAGCCCGCGUUGGAUUAGCUAGUUGGUGGGGUAAAGGCCUACCAAGGCGACGAUCCAUAGCUGGUCUGAGAGGAUGAUCAGCCACAUUGGGACUGAGACACGGCCCAAACUCCUACGGGAGGCAGCAGUGGGGAAUAUUGGACAAUGGGCGCAAGCCUGAUCCAGCCAUGCCGCGUGAGUGAUGAAGGCCCUAGGGUUGUAAAGCUCUUUCACCGGAGAAGAUAAUGACGGUAUCCGGAGAAGAAGCCCCGGCUAACUUCGUGCCAGCAGCCGCCGUAA
This 447-nucleotide ribosomal RNA is filed under the name uncultured bacterium. RNAcentral describes it as "partial 16S ribosomal RNA". It matches the Rfam family "Bacterial small subunit ribosomal RNA", at positions 29 to 523 of the family's 1533-position model. The record is from RNAcentral.